Molecule: ribosomal RNA, 3190 nt
Filed under: Didymium spongiosum
Lineage: Eukaryota; Evosea; Eumycetozoa; Physariida; Didymiaceae
Description: Mucilago crustacea partial 28S ribosomal RNA
Source: RNAcentral
AAUGGGCGGCAGGCCAGGGUGUUCACCCGCUMAAUUUAAGCAUAUAAGUCAGCGGAGGAAAAGAAAUCAAUUGAGAUUCCCUUAGUAGCUGCGAGCGAACAGGGAAUAGCCCGAGACCGAAUCCCAAGGCCCCCCGGGGUCUUGGGACCUGUAGUCUAAGGGCUGGCUUCGCAAUGGGGAGGUUCGCAGCAUACGGGUUGAGUUCCCGAGGCACAGGGCGUUACACGCGACCUGGUGGAUCGAACCGGCGAGGGGUCAGCCCGUGAGUAGGUUAGCUUGAAAGUGCUAGCUGAAUACGGGUGGUGCUGGCCAUCCAAGGCUAAAUAUGAAAGCAUAGUGACUGAUAGCAAACAAGUACCGUAAGGGAAAGCUGAAAAGCACCUCGUCUGAGGAGCUAAAAGAGCAUGAAAUCCGCCUAACGUGAACCGGACAUCCUGGCUCGUUGAACAGCAUCGGUGGGGGUAGCUCCCUGCCACAUGGUGCUUAGUAAGACACGGCUGCGGUGGAGGUCCUGCUGGGGAGGUGGCUGAUGGUCGGCUGUAUCUACGGAUGCGGUCGCCCUAGGUCACCAGAUCCGCGGGGCUUCGCCGUCUAGGCUUGUGAUUGGUGGGGAGGACUCGUCCGACCCGCCAUCUCAGGUGUGUAAGAGCUAGGUUUCCGACCCGUCUUGAAACACGGACCAAGGAGUCCAACGUACAUGCAAGUCAUCCAGCAUUCAUGCUGAACGGCGAAGCUCAGGCAAAAAGCAUCAAGGGGCCCCCGGGCCCCCGCAGUGCUCUCCUAGGUGGUCUCUCGGGGCUGCACUGGAGUUUGAGCAUGUCAUGUUAGGUCCCGAAAAACGACGAGCUAUGCUUGAGUAGGCUGAAGCCAGGAGAAAUCUUGGUGGAAGGCCGUCGCAGUACUGACGUGCAAAUCGUUUGUCAAACUUGAGUAUAGGGGCGAAAGACCAAUCGAGUCGUUUAGUAGCUGGUUUCCACCGAAGUUUCCCUCAGGAUAGCAAAGGAAGGCAGAGUAUAGGGCGGUAAAGACAAUGAUUAGGAGUCCCGGGGGCUAUCGGCCCUCGGCUCAUUCUCAAACUUUAAAUGCUCUAAAGCCGGGGUCCGUCUUAACCGCGGGCCUCGGCUGUAUCGUAGGUUCCUUUAGUGGGCCACGUUGGUAAGCAAGGAUGGCAAAAAGGGUUCAAACUUAUGCCCGGUUAGGCUCUCGAAAGUGUUGACACCUACCAAUCAAAAGGCGUUAUCCCAUGAUGACAGCUGGGCAGUGGCCAUGGAAGCCGGCAUCUGCUAAGGAGUGCGUGACAGCUCACCAGCCGAAUGGGGUAGCCCUGAAAAUGGACGAGGUUAAAUCAGCAUAGCCAUACCGGGCCGAGUCCCCUGAUAAAGCGUCACAAGCAGUUAACCUGCGCUAUCAUGGAGUAAACGAGUAGGGCGGAUACCCUGGUCGGGUUGAAGCGGUCCGGUGACGGGCCGUGGACUGGCCAGGGCAGCAGAUCUUGGUAGUAGUAGCAAGUAUUCAUAUGCAACACUCUGAAGGCCGUAGUGGAGGAGGGUUCCUCAACAACAGCAGUUGAUUGGGGGUUAGUCGGAAUCUAAGCGUCAAGGGAAACCUUUUGACAGGGUAGGCGUUCUCGGUAGGGGCAACUCGACCGGGUCCGUUUGCCCUGGACGCGACAGAGAAGCAGGUUAAUAUUCCUGCACUAGAUCGUUGAGCAGUGGGCGACCUUAAAGCAAUAUCCGAAACUGGUGACAUAGCUGGGAACCGCGAGAGGGAUUUUCCCUCCUUGCUAAGGGUGUUAAUCGCUCUGGUCAGUAUGCAUUGCGCAGAGAGCCAGGCAACCUACACCCUGAGAGUAUGCCGUUCUUCGGUGUAUUCGUGGUCUCCUUCCGCUAUCCUAGAAAAGCCAGUGGCUGGGUGAAAAGCGUUGCGCUUCGAUCUAACCGUACCUAAUCCGCAUCAGGUCUCCAAGAUGAGCAGUCUCUGGCGCAUAGAACAAAGUAGCGUAAGGGAAUUCGGCAAGCCGGAUUCGUAACCUCGGGAUAAGGAUUGGCUCUAUAGGCUGGGCUACCUGGGCCGGGUAAGGCAGGGGUGGUGUUAAGUAGUCAGCAAGGCGCUUCACGGUGUCGAGCAGGCGAACGAUGCUAUCCAGGCUGAAAACUGGAUCGGGGUCUGGGCUUCACGGCUCAGGCUUUGAAAACCGGGUAGCCACUAACAGCUCACAUAGAACUUAUAAAGGCAAGGGGAAUCCAACUGUAUAAUUAAAACAUAGCGAUUUGUUGGUGCCAAAGYGUGUAAACGAAUCGUGAUUUCUGCCCAGUGCUCUGGAUGUUAAAAUGGCGAAAUCCAACCAAGCUCGGGUAAACGGCGGGAGUAACUAUGACUCUCUUAAGGUAGCCAAAUGCCUCGUCAUUUAAUUUGUGACGCGCAUGAAUGGAUUAAUGAGAUUCCCACUGUCCCUACCUACUAUYUAGCGAAACCACAGCCAAGGGAACGGGCUUGGCACAAUUAGCGGGGAAAGAAGACCCUGUUGAGCUUGACUCUAGGCACAAAAGCGAGGUGAUUCUAAAGGUGUAGCAUAGGUGGGAGGGCCUGGCCCGACCUUGAAAUACCACCACUUUCGACAUUGCUUUGCUAAUGCUGUAACGAACGAACGGCCCCCUGGACGUCGGUGCCCUCGCGGUAUCGGCCCCGGGUAAGGUCAUCUUCUAGCGCUUUCCUAGCUAGGUACGGUGGUUUGGCCCCUCUGGGUGAGUACCUUGGGACCACGAGCUGGGCUUACGAGUCUGGUGAGUGUCGCUUCCGGGGGAACCAGGGACGGUUGGAUCACCCUCUGCCUGGCGUAAUCGGGUACGUUAGCCGUGUAGCAGACCAUUUGUGUUGGGGAGUUUGGCUGGGGCGGAAAACUGCUACACGGCAACGGCAGUCUCCAAGGUCCACUCAGAGACGACAGAAACGUCUCGUAGAGCAUAAAGGCAAAAGUGGGCUUAACUUACAUUCUCAGUAGUAAUGUGAAGCAAGAAAUUGAGGCUUAACGGUCCUUAACGUCGGGUGCCAGCCCGCGUUUGAGGUGAGAGAAAAGUUACCACAGGGAUAACUGGCUUGUGGCCGCCAAGCGUUCAUAGCGACGUGGCUUUUUGAUCCUUCGAUGUCGGCUCUUCCUAUCAUACUAAAGCAGAAUUCAGUAAGUGUUGGA